AUCCAGGAGAAGUCUGACGGAGCANCGCCGCGUGAGGUGAUGAAGGUUUUCGGAUCGUAAAACUCUGUUUGUUAGGGAAGAACAAGUACCGUUCGAAUAGGGCGGUACCAUUGACGGUACCUAACCAGAAAGCCACGGCUAACUACGUGCCAGCAGCCGCGGUAAUACGA
RNAcentral lists this ribosomal RNA (170 nucleotides) under Bacillus licheniformis. RNAcentral's name for it is "partial 16S ribosomal RNA". It matches the Rfam family "Bacterial small subunit ribosomal RNA", at positions 369 to 528 of the family's 1533-position model. Lineage: Bacteria; Bacillati; Bacillota; Bacilli; Caryophanales; Bacillaceae. The record is from RNAcentral.